AGAUUCUUUGGGAUGUUGGUCAUCAGUCUUAUCCUCAUAAGAUUCUUACUGGGAGAAGAGGAAAGAUGCCUACAAUGAGGCAAACCAAUGGUCUCUCUGGUUUCACCAAACGAGGAGAGAGUGAACAUGAUUGCUUUGGUACUGGACACAGCUCAACCACAAUAUCUGCUGGUUUAGGUAAUACAAUCAAUCAUUCCUUUGGUGUGUUUGCCUUGUGUUGUUGUGUUUAGACAGUAAACUGUAAUAAGAAAACAGAACUGAAUCAGAUAUAUGAGUUUUACAGGAAUGGCGGUAGGAAGGGAUUUGAAGGGGAAGAACAACAAUGUGGUUGCUGUGAUUGGUGAUGGUGCGAUGACGGCAGGACAGGCUUAUGAAGCCAUGAACAACGCCGGAUAUCUAGACUCUGAUAUGAUUGUGAUUCUUAAUGACAACAAGCAAGUCUCAUUACCUACAGCUACUUUGGAUGGACCAAGUCCACCUGUUGGUGCAUUGAGCAGUGCUCUUAGUCGGUUACAGUCUAACCCGGCUCUCAGAGAGUUGAGAGAAGUCGCAAAGGCAAGUUUAUUGCAUUUCUUUUCUAGAAUGGUAAAGAAUACUGGUCUUUAUGGACUUGAUGAGAAUUUUGGCUUUUCUUGCGUAUAGGGUAUGACAAAGCAAAUAGGCGGACCAAUGCAUCAGUUGGCGGCUAAGGUAGAUGAGUAUGCUCGAGGAAUGAUAAGCGGGACUGGAUCGUCACUGUUUGAAGAACUCGGUCUUUACUAUAUUGGUCCAGUUGAUGGGCACAACAU
RNAcentral lists this long non-coding RNA (788 nucleotides) under Arabidopsis thaliana (thale cress). Its description in RNAcentral is "long non-coding RNA (ATHA_LNC000262)". Lineage: Eukaryota; Viridiplantae; Streptophyta; Magnoliopsida; Brassicales; Brassicaceae. The record is from RNAcentral.